CCUGUAGCUUUUUUUUUUUCUCUCUAAUUUAGUGGUGAGGUGUGGCCUACCCCUUAAUUUUCUCUUUCUUGGUACCUAUGGGUCGUUUCAGAUUGUUGUCUUUUACCGAUCACGGGCCAUGGGGGGCAUAUACAUAUAGAGGUGCAUAAAUGGAAACAGCAUCAAACACAGUUGCAGGGUGCAGCAGCCAGCAUGGUAGCUUUAAUUUUUGAGUUCCUUGAUUUUCGUUAUCUUUGUAAAUUGUAACAUUAAGUAAAAGGAUGAUGAUGAUGAUGAUUAUAGUGCGUUGGUUUUGGUUGGCACAUGGCACUAUGGCAGGGGUGGUAGGGUAGGGUAGUGGUACGGCUACAGGAAGCGCCGUUUAACUGCGAACUUGUCUCUCUGCCACAAUGCUAUAACACAAACACCUAGACUGCAAUUUUCUAUUCUCUAAUUUCUGAUUUUCUAUACUAAAUAUUUGUAUUCAAAGUGCCGAUUUUUUCCUUUUUCGCUGGUGGAUUCAGACUCGUUUUCCACAUAAUAACUUAUUAGCCCAA
Arachis duranensis is the source of this 536-nucleotide RNA transcript. RefSeq lists it as uncharacterized. Lineage: Eukaryota; Viridiplantae; Streptophyta; Magnoliopsida; Fabales; Fabaceae. The record is from RefSeq and is a predicted model, not a curated record. The transcript is spliced from 2 exons.